GCAGGAGCACUCACCAGAGCUCAUCCACCACCCGCACCAGCACAAAGAACGUAUUCUUGCUCACACGCUUCUUGAAUGUGUCAGCGAAGGGAGAGAACUUCUCAUACGUGGGGCAGAGCUUCUUGAUGAGCUCCUCGGGGGUGAUGAAGGUCCUGUAAGUGGUGAGAAAGGCCUCGCAGUACAGCACCAAGUCUAGAGGAGGAACAGUGCGUUAGUGAUGCAUGCCACCAGCAAGGGACAGAGCUGGGCCGCGUGCCCGGAGGGGACAGCUCGCUGCCUGUUUGAAACUUCGUGUACACAGAAUGAAUGACUCACACUCAUCAGCAGAGCUGGGAACCAACAUCUGGAGAAUUUCCACUUAUUGAGAAAGCCAGGAAAAAGCUUCAGAAGUCAGGUGGGACUCGGCUUCCACCUUUUCGACACUAAUGAAAGGAGGCAUGGUAUUUUCUAAAUGUAAGACACUACCCCAGACAAAAUGACCUGCCAGGCGUUAUCCUACUUUGGAGCUGAGGUCCAAGUUUGUGCCUCAUCGGAAAGCUGUUUAAAUGGACAGGGGCUGCCUCCUAGCUGGCUGGAGAAAGAGGCCCCAUGUUUCCAGAUAAGCAGCGCUGACGGAGGAAGGGGAGCAGCUUUGGCUCCUGCCCUGAAGCUGGGGGCAGCAGGUGUGGGGAGGGAAACUCACAGCGGUUUCUCCUUGGCCCCCAUCCAGCUCACUGUUCUGUUCAGGUUAGGCUUGCAUUCUAAUGGGGCCGCAGAAAUUCAUGACAGGGACUUUGCAUUAGUAAAGCAGAGCCACCCUGUCCAUGCAGUUCCCUCCAGCUGACCGCAUCUGGCAGGUCAGUAGAAUUUACCACGGAGAAAUGGGGGCGGCUGUUCAUUACUUUUGGACAACUCCUCAUGCUGCUCCUAUGGGUGCCAUGAGCCCUUUCAGGGACUGCCUACCUGCUAACAUGCUCAUGUUAGCUCAUUCUCAUCUGCUGGACACCAAACCCUUUUGAAGGGCUGGACUCAACUCCCAGGAGGAAACCCCGAGGGCAUGAGAGGCUGUGGGUGAGUUUGUGGGAGCCCUUCUAUUUUCCAAAUUGUGUUUAGUGUAAAUAUAAUUUAGGAAUUCCCAGACUCAUCCUGUCUAACAAAUGUUGGGGAAAUUUGCUGUAAAAACACAGGGGAAGGCUGUUUACAAAAAUGAAAUUGGUGGGUUAGAGUUUCAA
This is a long non-coding RNA of Erinaceus europaeus (western European hedgehog), 1211 nucleotides long. RefSeq lists it as uncharacterized. The record is from RefSeq and is a predicted model, not a curated record. NCBI's taxonomy places the organism in Eukaryota, Metazoa, Chordata, Mammalia, Eulipotyphla, Erinaceidae. The transcript has 2 exons.